CUGAAACUGGUUCUUUACUAUUCAUUAUCUAGUUAUUCAAUAAGAUAUAGAUAUUUUACAUAAAGAGCAUUUGCUUUCUUUUUCUUCAUUCACUCUCUCUUGCUUUUUCAUGAGUUUCUUUCUCAACAAACCGAGCCAAAGCAAUCCCUAAGAAGGAGAGAAAAGGUAAGAUUCAAACUAAUUACUGGAAUCGACCUUCAAUUUCUUCCAAUCUUGUAAAUUUCUUCAAUUUCUUGAUCACUUUUGCAGAUCCUGUGGAAAUUUUUCCCUUUUUAUGAAAGUUUAACUAAAAUUUCAAACAAAGACUUGAGAGAAAAUUGAACUAUUUUCAGUUCAAGUAAAGAUCUUGGAACAACAACACGACAAUAGCAAAAAGGUCUUAUGAGGAUUCACAGGUAUUCUGGGGAAAAUUUCGGGGGUUAUCUCUAGAUUUUAGAGAGGACGAACGAAUUUUUUCUGGUCUUUCUUAUUUACUCGAAGAUAAUUGAUGGCAGUUUCUACUGCAAAGAUAGAAUCCUGAUAUGGUGGAUAUCAAGUGUUUUGAGCUAAUCGAUUCUGGCUCUGUAAUUAUAUUUAGCUAAAAGGGUGUGUAAUUAAGGGAAAAUUCAUGGUGGAUUAUGUAAAUACGGAAAGGAGAGAGAUUCUCUCAAUUUUUGCUGCUUGAAAUUCUUCAAAUAAUAUUGCCAGAACCUGGAUAGUUUUCAUUUUAUUUGCAUCAGAGGCCUGUUGAAAGAAUUUUGUAUGUUUGCUUUAGAAUUUGAAUUUUUCAGUCCUUAGUUUGAAGGGGUGGUCACAACAUUAUAGAAGAAGAGACCAAUGCAUUUGAAGUUGGGAAUACGAAAAGGUUGGAGAAAUUCUAGACAAGAUAAGAUAUAUGGGGUUUUGAUACCUUCAAUGAAGUAAGUGGAGUGAAAAUGGGUACAACGAUUUUACAUUCUUUGACAGGUGAUAAUCCAGAAUUGCAAAAGCAAACAGGACAGCAUUAUAGAACAAAAGUCAGUGCAUUGCAAGUUGGGUAUACGAAAAGGUUAGAGAAAUUCUAGACAAGACAUUUGGGAUUUUGAUACCUUCAUUGAAGUGAGGGAAGUGAAAAUGACUAAAAAGAUUUUACAUUUUUUGACAGGUGAUAAUCCAAAAUUGAAAAAGCAAACAUGAUAUAUGACAGGCAUCUUUCAACUGUUCGAUCAUCAGCCUAUUCUUACUGGGAGGUGCAUCGUUGGCCACAACACAGAGAGGCUGCCUCCUGGUACAUAUUUCUCAUACUAAUUGCUUACUAUUGCUUAUGAUCAAUAAUCUUGUAGAUGAAUGUACUAUUUUAAUGUUUUUCUUGCAGACGCUAUAGACUGUUCACUGAUAGAACUAAGUUUGUUUUAGUUCUCCAAAAUGGAUUCAUUGAAUAUUAAUUUUAAAUAAAUAUAUGAUUCUCUUCUUGUUCAAUAUAUUUCGUGCCACCUUUUAAGUUAAUAAUAUACAAGAGAAGCCCUACGAGCAUGAUACAAUGUGUUUUGCCCUACGAGCAUGAUGCAAUUCGGCCCAUUUCUUAGCAAAAAUAAUAUGCCCAGUAUAUUGAUUUUUGUUUCUUUUCAUGACCUAUAUUUAUUAUUUCAUAUAAGUUUGCAUAUAUAAUGUCCAUGGCCUCCUGAUGAUAUUGCUCAUUUAAUUUUUUGAAGCCUUAAUUCAUUGCUUUUAAUGGUCUAAUAAAAACCCAUAUCUCAGGUUCAGAUGUUCAUUUGCAGGAAAUGCCCAC
This 1747-nucleotide long non-coding RNA is filed under the name Olea europaea subsp. europaea. Lineage: Eukaryota; Viridiplantae; Streptophyta; Magnoliopsida; Lamiales; Oleaceae. The record is from RNAcentral.